Molecule: ribosomal RNA, 454 nt
Filed under: Amblyomma mixtum
Lineage: Eukaryota; Metazoa; Arthropoda; Arachnida; Ixodida; Ixodidae
Description: partial large subunit ribosomal RNA
Rfam family: Bacterial large subunit ribosomal RNA (bases 307-454)
Source: RNAcentral
UGCUCAAUGAUUUUUUAAAUUGCUGUAGUAUUUUGACUAUACAAAGGUAUUGAAAUAAGACUUUAAUUGAGUGCUAAGAGAAUGGAAUUACAGGAAAAAUCUUUUUUAAACUUAACAAUAAAAGUUAUUUUUACUUGUGAAGAAGCAGUAAUAAAAAUUAAGGACAAGAAGACCCUAAGAAUUUUUCGAUACAUAUUUCAAUAAAGAAAAUAUGUUUCUUUAAUUGGGGCGAUUAAUUAAUAUUAAAAACUUUUUUGAAAAAACAUGAACCGUUUAAUAGCGGUAAAUUGGUAAAAAUACUCUAGGGAUAACAGCGUAAUAAUUUUUGAUAGUUCAUAUUGACAAAAUAGUUUGCGACCUCGAUGUUGGAUUAGGAUAUUUUUUUAAUGAAGAAGUUAAAAAAAAAAGUUUGUUCAACUUUUAAUUUCCUACUUGAUCUGAGUUUCAGACCGGA